GAUGAACGCUGGCGGCGUGCCUAAUACAUGCGAGUCGAGCGAACAGACGAGGAGCUUGCUCCUCUGACGUUAGCGGCGGACGGGUGAGUAACACGUGGAUAACCUACCUAUAAGACUGGGAUAACUUCGGGAAACCGGAGCUAAUACCGGAUAAUAUAUUGAACCGCAUGGUUCAAUAGUGAAAGACGGUUUUGCUGUAACUUAUAGAUGGAUCCGCGCCGCAUUAGCUAGUUGGUAAGGUAACGGCUUACCAAGGCAACGAUGCGUAGCCGACGUGAGAGGGUGAUCGGCCACACUGGAACUGAGACACGGUCCAGACUCCUGCGGGAGGCAGCAGUAGGGAAUCUUCCGCAAUGGGCGAAAGCCUGACGGAGCAACGCCGCGUGAGUGAUGAAGGUCUUCGGAUCGUAAAACUCUGUUAUUAGGGAAGAACAAAUGUGUAAGUAACUAUGCACGUCGUGACGGUACCUAAUCAGAAAGCCACGGCUAACUACGUG
Molecule: ribosomal RNA, 497 nt
Filed under: uncultured bacterium
Lineage: Bacteria
Description: partial 16S ribosomal RNA
Rfam family: Bacterial small subunit ribosomal RNA
Source: RNAcentral